Molecule: ribosomal RNA, 505 nt
Filed under: uncultured bacterium
Lineage: Bacteria
Description: partial 16S ribosomal RNA
Rfam family: Bacterial small subunit ribosomal RNA
Source: RNAcentral
GACGAACGCUGGCGGCGUGCCUAAUACAUGCAAGUAGAACGCACAGUUUAUACCGUAGCUUGCUACACCAUAGACUGUGAGUUGCGAACGGGUGAGUAACGCGUAGGCAACCUGCCUGGUAGCGGGGGAUAACUAUUGGAAACGAUAGCUAAUACCGCAUAAUAUUAAUUAUUGCAUGAUAAUUAAUUGAAAGGUGCAAUUGCACCACUACCAGAUGGACCUGCGUUGUAUUAGCUAGUAGGUGAGGUAACGGCUCACCUAGGCGGCGAUACAUAGCCGACCUGAGAGGGUGAUCGGCCACACUGGGACUGAGACACGGCCCAGACUCCUACGGGAGGCAGCAGUAGGGAAUCGUCGGCAAUGGACGAAAGUCUGACCGAGCAACGCCGCGGGAGUGAAGAAGGUUUUCGGAUCGUAAAGCUCUGUUGUAAGAGAAGAACGGGUGUGAGAGUGGAAAGUUCACACUGUGACGGUAUCUGACCAGAAAGGGACGGCUAACUACGUG